UCUUCUCUUUAUUCAAAUGCAGGCUAUAUAUUUCAAUUACAAUGGCGAUAGAUUAAAGGCCUUAGAACAUUUCCUCGAAUGUGCAAACUGGCAGAAGGCACACUCAAUUUUCAUAAGUUCAGUCGUUCAUUCUCUGUUUUUGUCAGGUAGAGAUCUCAUUUUAUUUAUUCUUCAGUAUACUGAUAUCCAUUACUCCGUUCGGUCACUUGCCCUUCACUUUAUUUUUGAGUGGAAUUAAAUUUGACAUUGGGGUCCAUCACUUUUGGUGGUAAUUGGAUUCUUGAGAAUCAUAAUUUUUCAGCUCCUAUGUUGGUUUAAUAAUUGGGAAUCAUGAUAUGAAGUUAAGGGAAUGCGAAAUUAAAGCUUUUAAAUUAUGAUUUCCAUGAUUUGAUAUCUCGCCAAUCAAUUUGGAAUUCCGGAAACUUGGCAAAUGACUAUUUUAGGAGGAAAUUGUUGGAAAUGACCGGAUAACCCAUCCCUAUUUCCAAAGUGAUCUUUGACCGCCUUUUUAAUCAAAAAUCAAAUAAAAUUGAAUUUAAAGCUUAAAAUCCCAAAAUACCUCUCGGCUUCUCACAAAACUGAAAAAAGAAAGGUCGAUUUCCAGUCGGUCGGAGAACUUGUUAGUCCAUCGCCGGCGAACUAUUUCUUGUUAAGGUAACCGUUAUUAUAUUGAAUAUUUGGUUGGAUUAAUGUUUAGAUUUUGGUAAAGGUAUGAAUGAUUCUUUUGUGGGAAACUUUUUCAAUAUAUUGUUGUUUAUAUAUGUAAAAUAGGGUUUAUAUAGUGUUUUGAUGGUUGAUUUUUUAAAUUUGGAAGAUUUUUUCGCCGAAAAUGGUAAUUUUCCGACGAGAAAGGCGUUAGGACGCCGGCUGCUGGAGCAGUUGGCCAUUUUGGGGUGUCGGUCCACUCUUUUUUUUCAGUCCAAAUUUUUUUUUUUACAUAUAAUUUAAUAAUUUAAUUUUAAAUAAUUUUUAUUAUUAUUUUUUAAUAAAUAAUAAAUUAUUUAGUCGUCGAAUUUAAAUAAAAUUGUUACGACUAAAUUUAAAUAAAAUUUUUACAUUUAAUUUUUUUAAUAUUUAUUUUUAUUUCCUCAUUUUUGAUAAAAUAAUAAUUUUUUCGUUCAUCGAAUUGAAAUAAUUAUUUUAAUUGUGAACUUAAGUUUUAUAUUUAUUUUUAUUAUUAGUUUUUGAUAAAUAAUAAUUUAUUUAGUCAUCGAAUUUAAAUAAAUUAUUUACUUUUAAUUUUCAAUUUUAUUAAUAGUUUUGGAUGAUAUUUUUUUCGUUCAUCAAAUUUAAUUAAUGUUUUUAAUUGUAAUUUGAAAUAAUUGUUGGAAAUUUAAUUUGAAAUUUAAUAUUUAUUUUUAUUAUUAGUUUUUAAUAAAUAAUAAUUGAUUUAAUCGUCGAAUUUAAAUAAGUUAUUUACUUUUAAUUUUAUUAAUAGUUUUGGAUGAUAUAGUUGUUGGAAAUUUAAUAUUUAUAUUUAUAUUUAUUAUUAGUUUUUGAUAAAUAAUAUUAUUUUCGUUUAUCGAAUUUAAAUGUUUUUUGAACCUGAAUUGAUUAAAAAAAUAUUAAUAAUUGGGAAAAUUUGACAUUAUUGAUAAUAGGAUAAAAAAAUUCACAUUAUUGAUGAUUUUAAUUAUUAUGAAUCUGCGUCUUGCGUAUUGUAGUUACAAUUUCGUUCGCUAAAUUUUUUAUUAUUAUGUUUUAUUCUAUUAUUACUUGUAUAAUGUUAUAACAUUUUGAAUUUUUACAGGAUGGAUUAUCAUCUUGACACAGAGUUGAGACAUAUGCCAGGCAAAGCUACGUGAAAUAUUAGCUUAGAUAGUUUCAUUGUUGUGUUAGAGCUGCUCGAUGAUCAAUAUGCUGAUAUGCUGCGCUAGUCCUUCCUAUGGCCCUUGUACCCGUUGAAAGAUCUGCAGUACUCAGGUCAGAUUAUUGAUGCACUUCUAUGUCGAUUGCUGAGUCCAGUCGACGGCGAUACCCUCCACUUCGCAAUGGGGGGUAAAGUUGCCAGUUUUUCGAUGUUUGAGUUUGCGCUGAUCACGGGAUUAAAGAUUACGGGUGAUGAACUAGCUGGUGAUGGGACUCAGAGAAGAAAUAUGCUUCAUGACGCUUACUUCGAGGGACUGGGAACGGUGCUUCUUAUAUAGCUGUUGGGCGCAAUCAAAAAGUAUGAUCAGAUGUUAGACAGACUGAAGUUAGGUCUGGUCUACAUCCUUGAGAGCAUGGUGCGGUGUCACCAUAAGAAGAUUGCGAUUGACCUCUUCCAUCUGCAGAUCGUUGACAACAUCGAUCGUUUCAACGACUAUCCGUGGGGUCGGAGAUGUUUUGAGGACACCGUACACAUCUUCACCAGAUCGCACUCGAAGCCGUAGGGAGCCAUGCGUAAGUACGACACCUAUGGAUUGCCCCUGGCGGUGCAGGUAAAUGGUUAACAUAAUGAAUAUUAAAAUUAUUUUCAUAUUGAAUUUAUAUAUAAUAAUUGUAUGUGUUCCAGAUCUGAGCGUAUGAGACCGUCCCCAUAUUGGGUGCUCGCUUUGCGAGGCGAGGGGAGACACGCUGCUCUCGAAUGCACCAUUGGAGAGCAUCUCAAUCGGAGGGAUGUCCCACUGGAAAACAGUUAUCGGCUAUCCUCGACGAUUCUCAGGGAAGUAUUAUGCAUUUGUAAUUUAUAUUGUGCGUGAUUUAGCAUCUGAUUGCAUGAUUGUUAACUAGUUCAAAUGUUAAUAUGUCAGCUUGAAGUCAUAAAUGAGUUGACGUCGUCGAUGGAGGAGGAGGCUCAGGGUCUUGUGCAUGAAUUAGGCGUUUCGCACACCCAAGACAAUCAGAUGUCCGAUCCGAUCCACGAUUGAGAUUGGGUGAGCGAAUUGAAUAAAAUCUAUUGAUUACCGUUUUGUAUGAGUUAGCAAUUACGGAUUAAGUUAAUAAUUUGUAAUGUUGUUGCUUGUGUAGGAGCGUGAUCUUGUUGAUCAACGAUCACCUCCGUCGAGGGCAUUAUCACCUCCAUCGAGGGCAUCUCCUCCCCCUCCCUCGUUCAAAGAUCUUUCCUGUGGAUCUCUUGCACAUAGUCAUGGGCACUAUUUUGAUGAUCCGUAUGCCCGUCUGAGCAGAUUUAUAGUAGGGCAGGUCGACGGGCUUCGUCAAGAGAUGAUAGAGAGGGUUCAUGAUCUGGGACAACAGUUGGUACGAAGGGUCGAAGAUUUGUCUAAUGAGAUUGCAGCACUUCGAGGUGAUAUAGUCGGUAGGCGAUGGGUUGACAGAGACGGUGAUCGACGAGGUGAUCGAGAGGGUGAUAGAGAUGGGGGGGAGGUCUCCGGUAGUCAUACAUGUAUGAUGAUGAUGCAUGGAAAUCAUUUAUUUUAUCCGUGGAGCGCGAUGGGACAGGAGCAGUGACAGAGGAGAGGGCCCGUCGGGAAGGGAGACGGUGGCAGAUGAGGGAAUGGCCCCAUCGGGGACAGAGACGAUGACAGAUGAGGGAGUGAGCCCGUCGGGGACGGAGACAGUGGUAGAUGAGGGGAUGGAGGAGGUAGCGAGCCUGGGGUGGAGGAGGUAGCGAGCCUGGGAUGGCAGUGUAUAAGGCAAAAAAGCGUGCUGGUGACAUGUUGGAGACGGUGGUCGGCAAGAGGCUGAGAGUGCCGUCAUAGUACGUCGUCUCUCCCUUCACGGCUAAGGCGAAGAGGAGGAGGUUCGUCGAUGGGACGUAUCCCAAUCUGUUUUAGGAGGUCGACCAUGCUAAGUGGAAAACAUUCGAGAUUGAGUGGGGAAGAAUGUUGUCCGGAUAAGUAUUGUAUGAUUUAGUAGACUACUAGAACUCGUAUAUGCUUCGUUUAACGUUUUUUCUAUUUUAUUUCCAGAGCCAUGCACAUGAUAGUCGGAAGGACGAUAUUGGAUGCAUAUAAGUGGUUCUAUGAUAUUACAAAUCAGGGGGCUUGGCUCGCCGACGAUGUAAGUAAAGUGUUAUUGUUACUUUUUGUAUACAUUAUGUUUAAUUUGGUAAAUGAAAUAAGUAUUUAUAUCUUUGUUUUCCUUGAUGUAGCACAUCGGCAUGGCCAUAGACUUGUUGCACGAUCGAGUUGAGAGAUAUCCACAAUCAUUCCACAAGUCUGGUCGCAUAAUACUGAACACCGUGUUCUUCCGUGUCGUUACCAUUGAGUAUCAGUCGCUCCAGUUUCUAGGUAACGAGUAUGUACUUCCCACGUAUAUGCUCGAGUGGGUCAUCAGGUUGUCACUGAGUGUUGAGGGAAAGUCAUGGGAGGGUUGUAUGCAUUUAUACAUUCCAGUGAUCGUGAAUCAGAACUGCAUUGCACUGGAGAUCGAGUUCCUUGAUUCGACGAUAUAUGUGUACGACCUCGAUCAUUCAUGUCUGACACAGGGACAGCUCGAGCAGAACUUAGAGCCGGUGACUGUGAUUGUUCCUAUGAUGGCUAGGCAUGUGGGCUUUAUCGUGGAUGAAAAACUAGCCAUCGUGCGGGACACGACGAUGGCGAGAUAGUCUAUAUCGUAAGUUUUUGUAAUCUUUUUUUUUUUUUAAUUUAGUAAUCGGUUCGUACGUAGUUAGAACCGAACUAACACAUAUUUGUUUAUUUGCAAGGGCGGCUAUGGGAUUUUCGCUAUCAAAUACAUAGAAUUUUUUAGUAUAGCGCAUAAGGUUGAUGAAAUCAACCAGUCAUGGAUGCAGAAUUGACAAAAUAAGUUAGCGUGUGAUUUAUACGAAUUUUAUUGUGAUCCAUAAAUUAUUUGUAAAUAUUUUUUGUAAUUAAUAUAUGUAAUUAUUUUUGUGAUUUUUUGUAAAUAUUUUUCGCAAUUGUUUAUAAUUAUUCAUGUAAAU
This 4825-nucleotide long non-coding RNA is filed under the name Olea europaea subsp. europaea. The record is from RNAcentral. Lineage: Eukaryota; Viridiplantae; Streptophyta; Magnoliopsida; Lamiales; Oleaceae.